GACCGCAAGGGAAGAGCGCUUUUAUUAGUUCAAAACUGGUCGGGCCUCGGUCCGUUAACCCACCCGUGGUGAAUCUGAAUAACUUUUCGCUGAGCGCACGGUCUCCGCACUGGCGCCGCGUCUUUCAAGUGUCUGCCUUAUCAGCUUUCGAUUGUAGGUUAUGCGCCUACAAUGGCUAUUACAGGUAACGGGGAAUCAGGGUUCGAUUCCGGAGAGGGAGCCUGAGAAACGGCUACCACAUCUAAGGAAGGCAGCAGGCACGCAAAUUACCCACUCCCGGCUCGGGGAGGUAGUGACGAAAAAUAACGAUGCGAGACUCAUCCGAGGCCUCGCAAUCGGAAUGAGUACACUUUAAAUCCUUUAACGAGGAUCAAUUGGAGGGCAAGUCUGGUGCCAGCAGCCGCGGUAAUUCCAGCUCCAAUAGCGUAUAUUAAAGUUGUUGCGGUUAAAAAGCUCGUAGUUGGACAUGAGUUCCGGACCGACGGUUGCUGUUCACCGUCAGGUGUAUACUGUCACUCUCAGAACAGCUUGAUUUUUGCCCAGCCGGUGCGCACGGGGUGCUCUUCACCGAGUGUCCCGAGUGGCCGGCAAGUUUACUUUGAUAAAAUUAGAGUGCUCAGUGCAGGCUACAUUGAUUGCCAGAAUGUCUAUGCAUGGAAUAAAGGAACAGGACCUCGGUUCCAUUUUGUUGGUUUUCGGAACCUGAGGUAAUGACUAAUCGGAACGGCCGGGGGCAUCCGUAUUGCGGCGAUAGAGGUGAAAUUCUUGGACCGUCGCAAGACGAACAACUGCGAAAGCAUUUGCCAUGGAUGUUUUCAUUAAUCAAGAACGAAAGUUAGAGGUUCGAAGGCGAUCAGAUACCGCCCUAGUUCUAACCAUAAACGAUGCCAACUAGCGAUCCGCCGGNGUUAUUCCCAUGACCCGGCGGGCAGCUUCCGGGAAACCAAAGUUUUUGGGUUCCGGGGGAAGUAUGGUUGCAAAGCUGAAACUUAAAGGAAUUGACGGAAGGGCACCACCAGGAGUGGAGCCUGCGGCUUAAUUUGACUCAACACGGGGAACCUCACCAGGCCCAGACACUGGAAGGAUUGACAGAUUGAGAGCUCUUUCUCGAUUCGGUGGGUGGUGGUGCAUGGCCGUUCUUAGUUGGUGGAGCGAUUUGUCUGGUUAAUUCCGAUAACGAACGAGACUCUGGCCUGUUAACUAGUCGACGGAUCUCCAGCAAUUGGUGUCCAGUUCGCAACUUCUUCUUAGAGGGAUAAGCGGCAAUUGUAGCCGCACGAGAUUGAGCAAUAACAGGUCUGUGAUGCCCUUAGAUGUUCUGGGCCGCACGCGCGCUACACUGAAGUGAUCAGCGUGUUGUGCCCCCUCCGAGAGCAGCGGGUAACCCGUUCAAACCCCUUCAUGAUAGGGAUUGGGGCUUGCAAUUGUUUCCCGUGAACGAGGAAUUCCCAGUAAGUGCAAGUCAACAGCUUGCGCUGAUUACGUCCCUGCCCUUUGUACACACCGCCCGUCGCUACUACCGAUUGAAUGAUUUAGUGAGGCCUUCGGACUGGCGCUCUUGGACGAUGAUGAUGUAC
This 1577-nucleotide ribosomal RNA is filed under the name Euastacus balanensis. RNAcentral describes it as "SSU rRNA". It matches the Rfam family "Eukaryotic small subunit ribosomal RNA", at positions 185 to 1738 of the family's 1831-position model. The record is from RNAcentral. Lineage: Eukaryota; Metazoa; Arthropoda; Malacostraca; Decapoda; Parastacidae.